RNAcentral lists this ribosomal RNA (395 nucleotides) under uncultured bacterium. RNAcentral's name for it is "partial 16S ribosomal RNA". It matches the Rfam family "Bacterial small subunit ribosomal RNA", at positions 523 to 918 of the family's 1533-position model. The record is from RNAcentral.
AUACGUAGGGUGCAAGCGUUAAUCGGAAUUACUGGGCGUAAAGCGUGCGCAGGCGGUUUUGUAAGACAGUGGUGAAAUCCCCGGGCUCAACCUGGGAACUGCCAUUGUGACUGCAAGGCUGGAGUGCGGCAGAGGGGGAUGGAAUUCCGCGUGUAGCAGUGAAAUGCGUAGAUAUGCGGAGGAACACCGAUGGCGAAGGCAAUCCCCUGGGCCUGCACUGACGCUCAUGCACGAAAGCGUGGGGAGCAAACAGGAUUAGAUACCCUGGUAGUCCCCGCCCUAAACGAUGUCAACUGGUUGUUGGGGAUUUAUUUUCUCAGUAACGAAGCUAACGCGUGAAGUUGACCGCCUGGGGAGUACGGCCGCAAGGUUAAAACUCAAAUGAAUUGACGGGG